Molecule: non-coding RNA, 772 nt
Organism: Gasterosteus aculeatus aculeatus (three-spined stickleback)
Lineage: Eukaryota; Metazoa; Chordata; Actinopteri; Perciformes; Gasterosteidae
Source: RefSeq, a predicted model, not a curated record
UACACAUAGACAUAUAGACAUACAGACAUACACAUAGACAUAUAGACAUACAGACAUACACAUAGACAUAUAGAGACAGCCAAACCCAGGAAGGCCGUGUGCCGAUGAAGCAGCAGAGGACACUGAUUCCUGCCGCAGGGCUGUUCUUCCCUCCCUUCUUUUCCCCUUCAUUUCUCCUCUGCACGGCAGACUACAGCAAACAGUCGGGCGCUCUGAGAGGCCGACACCUUUUGACCCCCGACGUCCCCCCCGCGGACAAUCAGCUCCCGACACAACCGCCUGGUGACCGAGUCAAGGUCAACAGGUGCUGGCGAUCAACAGAUGAGGAUCCUCCUUUUCUUCCCACUGACUCAUGCGUGAAACGCCGAACCUUCUUCUCUCAGAAAUACAUCCAUAUCAAAAGUGUUUUUAUUCGCGUGAAACUAGUAGGAGCGCAGUCUAUUCUGAAGCAUAAAUGACAUGUAAAAGGUUCAAAAACAGCUUUAUUAGCAUCAAGGCAUGUUGUUCAGUCUCCCCUUCCCCCAACAUGUGGGCAUCUUUUCUGUAUCCUUUCUGCUGUGAAGUUAUAAUUUGUACAUUAUCCCAAAAAAAGCUUGUGUCAGUGAAUUAAAUUGAUUUUCAUCGCCAAGGAUUUUCUGUUGUAGCAAUAAUUAAAUGGUCAAGGUGAGUUCAACACAAAUGCGUAAGUCGUUUUCAAAAAGCCUCUGUUCAUGUGAAGGACACAAUCUGUGCUUACAAUCAAAACCAGGGGAAUAAAAACAAUUUUACAAGA